GGGGGCGUCACGGCUUCGACGGAGAUGCUUGCGGCCAAGAGGCAUGCCGGGGUGCACACACCCGUAAUCGCGUGCAAAAUGAUAAUUGCCAAUCAACAGAUGGCAUACGCUGCUUAAUUAGUUAAGUAGCCGUCCUCCGCGGCUUUGCCCGUGGGCUGCGGAAGGGCGUCGCACAGCGGGCUGGUUGUGAAAGCUACGUCUGGGCUUUUGCGACGAGAUCUACAGGCUAGCGGAACGCGUUUCUUGUCCGUUCUGAGCGCGCCCCGCGAACGUCCCAGGGUAAUGCCUGGGGCAUGAACUGGACUACGCAUGUAGGCUCUUGACCAGUAACAUUUUCGGACGCGGGUUCGACUCCCGCCGCCUCCACCA
Molecule: transfer-messenger RNA, 369 nt
Filed under: Terriglobales
Lineage: Bacteria; Pseudomonadati; Acidobacteriota; Terriglobia
Also listed under: 2 other names
Description: QIAB01 sp003225455 Standard tmRNA
Rfam family: transfer-messenger RNA
About the family: Bacterial tmRNA, also known as 10Sa RNA or SsrA, is named for its dual tRNA and mRNA-like properties. Its role is to liberate the mRNA from a stalled ribosome. To accomplish this part of the tmRNA is used as a reading frame that ends in a translation stop signal.
Source: RNAcentral